Molecule: ribosomal RNA, 400 nt
Filed under: uncultured bacterium
Lineage: Bacteria
Description: bacterial SSU rRNA
Rfam family: Bacterial small subunit ribosomal RNA
Source: RNAcentral
GAAUAUUGGACAAUGGGCGAAAGCCUGAUCCAGCAAUGCCGCGUGAGUGAUGAAGGCCUUAGGGUUGUAACGCUCUUUUACCCGAGAUGAUAAUGACAGUACCUGUAGAAGAAACCCCGGCUCACUCCGUGCCAGCCGCCGCGGUAAUACGGAGGGGGUUAGCGUUGUUCGGAAUUACUGGGCGUAAAGCGCGCGUAGGCGGGCUGUUAAGUCGGGGGUGAAAUCCCGGGGCUCAACCCCGGAACUGCCCUCGAUACUGGCAGCCUAGAGUUCGAGAGAGGUGAGUGGAAUUCCGAGUGUAGAGGUGAAAUUCGUAGAUAUUCGGAGGAACACCAGUGGCGAAGGCGGCUCACUGGCUCGAUACUGACGCUGAGGUGCGAAAGCGUGGGGAGCAAACAGG